UACGUAGGGGGCAAGCGUUGUCCGGAUUCAUUGGGCGUAAAGAGCGUGUAGGCGGCCAGGUAGGUCGGUUGUGAAAACUGGAGGCUCAACCUUCAGAGGUCGACCGAAACCAUCUGGCUAGAGUCCGGGAGAGGAGAGUGGAAUUCCUGGUGUAGCGGUGAAAUGCGCAGAUAUCAGGAAGAACACCCGUGGCGAAGGCGGCUCUCUGGACAGUUACUGACGCUGAGGCACGAAGGCCAGGGGAUCAAACGGG
RNAcentral lists this ribosomal RNA (253 nucleotides) under uncultured bacterium. RNAcentral describes it as "partial 16S ribosomal RNA". It matches the Rfam family "Bacterial small subunit ribosomal RNA", at positions 524 to 776 of the family's 1533-position model. The record is from RNAcentral.